This 472-nucleotide ribosomal RNA is filed under the name uncultured bacterium. Its description in RNAcentral is "bacterial SSU rRNA". It matches the Rfam family "Bacterial small subunit ribosomal RNA", at positions 29 to 518 of the family's 1533-position model. The record is from RNAcentral.
AAUGAACGUUGGCGGCGUGGAUUAGGCAUGCAAGUCGAGCGAUAACCCGCAAGGGGGAAAGCGGCAAACGGGGUAGUAAUGUGUCGGAACGUGCCCUCUGGUCGGGGAUAGCGGCGGGAAACUGCCGGUAAUACCCGAUGAACUCGAGAGAGCAAAGGUGUGAUUCCGCCGGAGGAGCGGCCGACAUGGUAUUAGCUAGUUGGCGGGGUAAUGGCCCACCAAGGCUGUGAUGCCUAGGGGAUGUGAGAGCAUGAUCCCCACCAUUGGGACUGAGACACUGCCCAGACACCUACGGGUGGCUGCAGUCGAGAAUCUUCGUCAAUGGGCGAAAGCCUGAACGAGCGACGCCGCGUGCGGGAUGAAGGCCCUUGGGUUGUAAACCGCUGUCGAGGGGGAUGAAGGCUGAGUCGUUAUCGGCUCAGUUUGACAGAGCCCAGAAGGAAGCACGGGCUAAGUUCGUGCCAGCAGCCGC